Schistocephalus solidus is the source of this 83-nucleotide non-coding RNA. NCBI's taxonomy places the organism in Eukaryota, Metazoa, Platyhelminthes, Cestoda, Diphyllobothriidea, Diphyllobothriidae. The record is from Rfam.
GGCCUCGUAGCUCAGUUGGCUAGAGCGUCGACUGUACUAAAGCCUUCCCCUGGCUGGCAUGGGUUCAAAUCCCACUGAGGUUG